GCCAAGAGAGAUAGUUUUACCUCUUUCUUCUACUUUGAAGGCCUCUGUUUGUUUUCCCUAAUUGUUCUGCAAGGACUUCAGUACAAUGUCAGCUGGCAGCAGUGAGAGACCAAGCAUCCUCAGCUUUUCCUGGUGUCACGGGCUGCUUGUCUUUGAAAAGAAAGUGGCUGGGAGCCCAAGCCUGACACCAGCACCCACUCUUGUUCACAAUAGCCAAAAAGGAGAAACACCAAGUACGCAUCAAGGGAUGGGUAUGUAAACAAAAUGCAGCAAACUGUAUAGUGGAAUAUUACC
This 294-nucleotide long non-coding RNA is filed under the name Mustela putorius furo (domestic ferret). RNAcentral's name for it is "lncRNA (ENSMPUG00000028358.1)". Lineage: Eukaryota; Metazoa; Chordata; Mammalia; Carnivora; Mustelidae. The record is from RNAcentral.